AACGAACGCUGGCGGCGUGGAUAAGACAUGCAAGUCGAACGGGACUAAAUCUGUAGCAAUACAGGUUUAGUUUAGUGGCGAACGGGUGCGUAACACGUGGGGAAUCUGCCGAGAAGUGGGGGAGUAGCUCGCCGAAAGGACGGAAUUAAUACCGCAUAUGAUCAGCUAAGACAUCUUAGCGACAUCAAAGACCGGGGUAACCGUGGC
RNAcentral lists this ribosomal RNA (207 nucleotides) under uncultured bacterium. Its description in RNAcentral is "partial 16S ribosomal RNA". It matches the Rfam family "Bacterial small subunit ribosomal RNA", at positions 29 to 218 of the family's 1533-position model. The record is from RNAcentral.